GCAAACUUGGUCAUUUAGAGGAAGUAAAAGUCGUAACAAGGUUUCCGUAGGUGAACCUGCGGAAGGAUCAUUAUUGAAUCCUUAGGAUGUUGCUGGCCCCCUCUCUUGGGGGCAUGUGCACUCCGCCUUUUAAUACACCUGUGAACUCAUUGUAGGUGCAGAUGUAACAGUCUGUCGCCUAUGUUUUUUUAACACACUCUUAAAAUGUAUUAUGAAUGUUGAUAUAUGGCCUUUGAUGGUCAGCAAAUCUAAUACAACUUUCAACAAUGGAUCUCUUGGUUCUCGCAUCGAUGAAGAACGCAGC
RNAcentral lists this unclassified non-coding RNA (304 nucleotides) under uncultured fungus. Its description in RNAcentral is "partial contains small subunit ribosomal RNA, internal transcribed spacer 1, and 5.8S ribosomal RNA". The stretch from base 1 to 73 matches the Rfam family "Eukaryotic small subunit ribosomal RNA", at positions 1759 to 1831 of the family's 1831-position model. The record is from RNAcentral. Lineage: Eukaryota; Fungi.